Molecule: ribosomal RNA, 415 nt
Filed under: Lepiota thrombophora
Lineage: Eukaryota; Fungi; Basidiomycota; Agaricomycetes; Agaricales; Agaricaceae
Description: partial small subunit ribosomal RNA
Rfam family: Bacterial small subunit ribosomal RNA
Source: RNAcentral
UCUUAAAAUCAUUGAUACAAUGGUUCUUGAGAUAACGUAAGGGAUAAAAAUGAUAGUACCUUACUAUAAGUGUUGUCCAACUAUACUGGUGCCAGAAGACUCGGUAACGCCAGAAACGCAAACGUUAGUCGUCUUAAUCAGGCGUAAAGGGUAAGUAGGCUGCUUUGAAAGUUGUUAAUUAAAAAGCUCUUUUUUAAAGUAAUUAAUAAUGAAUUAAAGCUAGAAUCAAAUAGGGGAUAAGCCAAAUAAUAUUUAGUGUAAGGCUAAUAUCUUUAGAUACUAAAUGGAAUACUAAGGUUAAAACUUUUAUCUAUUAAUGAUUGACGCUGAGGAACGAAGGUGAGAAUAGAAAACAGGAUUAGAGACCCAGGUAUCUCUCACUGUCAACGAUGAAUGGUAGUUGUUAGUUAAACUU